This 212-nucleotide long non-coding RNA is filed under the name Eucalyptus grandis. Its description in RNAcentral is "long non-coding RNA (EGRA_LNC003183)". The record is from RNAcentral. Lineage: Eukaryota; Viridiplantae; Streptophyta; Magnoliopsida; Myrtales; Myrtaceae.
ACCACAAGCGAUCUUGAUUUCGACGCAUGAACCAAACAAGCAAGCACAGAAAGAAAGAUCCAUACCUGGACAACCGGCGGCUCAGCCAGCAAGAAGAAGAGCGAGGAACCCACCAAGGCAGGAAGAGAGAGAAAGCGAGGGAUGCAGUUCUAGAGAGAGAGAGAGAGAGAGAGAGAGAGAGAGAGAGAGAGGGAGGCAGAGGAAGAGUCUUU